This is a long non-coding RNA of Scophthalmus maximus (turbot), 1085 nucleotides long. RefSeq lists it as uncharacterized. The record is from RefSeq and is a predicted model, not a curated record. The transcript has 3 exons. NCBI's taxonomy places the organism in Eukaryota, Metazoa, Chordata, Actinopteri, Pleuronectiformes, Scophthalmidae.
GCAGUGUGUAUCCUGAAUUACAGAGCUGCCCUGUAAGUACAAGUAACAUAACAAAUAUGGUUGAAGGUGCAGAGCUUAAAAAUGAUAAUCAACAGUGCUUCAUUGUCUAGGAUAUAUCCUGCUCUCUCUAAGCUUUUCUCUUUUUUGCAGGGGGGACAAUAGCCUGAUUAGGGAGAAAGAGAGAGGCAGAUGAUGAUAGGUCAUGGAGGCAGGCAGAUGGACAGAUAAACAGAGGACUGCAGACAGACGCAGACAGAAACUUUUAUGAAUAUAUACACACACUCCACCCCACCCCACCUCGCUAUAUCCUGGACAGCUGUCAGCAGGGACCUGGCCAAAGAAAAGGACCCAUCUGUCGCCUUCCCUCAAAGUGUGCUCGCGUCAUCCUGCAAGCAGACAAAAAAAACACCCGCCGACAAAAUACAACAUUAACACCUGGGCGCAGCAUGGAGGAAGACGAACCGUACCCUGUGUGACGCUUCUGUGGUCGGAACUAGCGACUGUUUGAACUGCUGGAUACAUGUGUGCGUUUGUGUUAGUCAGUGUGUCCGUUGUCUCGACCAUGUCACUAUAAAACGUGUGUCAUUCUGAUGUAGCUGUAAAAACUCCCCUGAGGACUGACCUUUGAAAGCCUUUCUAUCAAGUAGCGAUCAGAUUAAAUAGUCAGACUACUUGUCACACAGGUGUCUAAGAUAAGCUGGUCUUUAUUACUGUCUGGAAAUGAAUUCAAUUUCAAAUCAAUCCCAUUUUUUAUGGAAGGCACUUUACACUUGUGUACCAAGGCUUUCAUUUUAAAACACAUCACUGUAAUGCAACGGUUACGCCUGCUGCCCACUCUACUCCGGAGUUUUUGAGCGCCUGACCGGAGAAGUUUGGAAAUGCUGCUCGUAUGAAAACUCCGGGGCUGCGUAGUAGUAUGGACGUACAUGAAUGGUCACCUGAUAUUGGUGCUCAGGUGUUAGUAUGGAUGAGGUGCUCUUGAUACAGCGCUAAAAUGCUUAUUCAGACGGAAAUUGUUCUAGUUUUAAAACACCUUUUUGAAACAAAAAUGUAUUAGAGAUGAUUAAAAAAGUACUUGGCUAAAU